This 2247-nucleotide unclassified non-coding RNA is filed under the name Hevea brasiliensis (rubber tree). The record is from RNAcentral. Lineage: Eukaryota; Viridiplantae; Streptophyta; Magnoliopsida; Malpighiales; Euphorbiaceae.
CGCUGUUUCACCUUCUUUCACUCUCUCAACUCUCCGCUUCGUUCCAUAACGCAUGAUUUUGCUUCCCGCCGGUUACCGACUCACCGCCGUGCCGUUCCUCCUUCUCCGCUGUGCAUUCCAAAACAUAAGAAUUGCAUUCAGAGCUGUCGGAGAUGGGAUUUAAGAAAGUUUAUAAGGCAUUGCAGGAGAUUUUUCCUGAGGUUGAUUCUCGAAUUCUUAGAGCUGUUGCUAUUGAGCAUUGUAAGGAUGGUGACACGGCUGUCGAGGUGGUCCUUAAUGAAGUUAUCCCCUGCUUGACUAAGCUUCCCUCAACUUCUGCUGAGCAUAGUGGGGUUACUGGCAUAUCAUCUGCAGCUGCAGUAGAUGCUAAUGGGCCUCCACAGCCUGAUGCUUUUCUUCUUCACAAUACAAAAGACUCAGAUGAACUACAAAAUGGCUCAUCAUUCUAUGAUGCUGGUUGUGGACAUCAUCAAACAAUUGAAGAUACUGAUGGUGAAUCUCUUCAGAAUUAUCAUGAUGCUGUUGGUGGAAAUCACGUACCGCUUGAAGUUGAUGGAGGUGGGACACCGGCCUCCGUGGAGAAGUGUGACAAAAGUAAAGAAAAAGUUACUGCCUACGAACCCUGCCUAGUCAUGAAUGCCAUGUCAAAUGCUGAAGGUGAGGAUAUUGCUGAUGUUUAUGAGAAGUGUGCACCUUUACUAAUUGAAAAUGAGAGAUGUGGACACUCUGCAGAUCCUGAAGCAACUUCUUUGACAGCAAACAAAAAGAAUGGAGCUGAAGUUGCUGACAAUAAGCUCUGUCUGCCCACGGAAUGUGUUGUUCUGCAUGAUACCUUUGAAGGGACUGAGAACUCAUCUUCUGAUGAUUCUACUGCACUUGUGCACAAAAGGAUACAUGAAGAAGUUUCUUCACAGGACAAUCGGGGCAUGAAAGAUCCUGAGGGUCAGGUUGUGCCCUUGAGUGCUCAAACUUUAUGUGGUUCUGAAGAUAGUAUAGAGUUUGUGGUUGCACCAGAUGUGCACAACUUUGAGCUAGAAAAAACAGAAAUCAGUCUUCAUCAAAAAGAAAAAACAGAACUCAGUGAUUCAGUCGAUGCUACAUCUAGUGAAGAUUUGGCGGGUGUAAUUCUUGUAACUAAAGAAGAGUCUAUGCCAAAUUCAGUGGUCACUGCAUCAGGUCAAAUUUGUAGUAUUGACCUUCUCGAGGAUAUGAUGACAGAAGCCAAAAGUAACAAGAAAACACUGUUUUUGGCUGUGGAGUCUAUUAUCUGCUUGAUGAGAGACGUUGAACUCCAAGAGGAAGCUGCAGAGCAGGCAAAGCUUGAAGCUGCUAAGGGGGGACUGGAUAUGCUUGAGAGGGUGGAGGAUCUGAAAGAAAUGUUACAACAUGCUAAGGAAGCAAAUGAUAUGCAUGCUGGUGAAGUUUAUGGUGAGAAGUCCAUCUUAGCUACUGAAGUUAAAGAACUUCAAUCUCGCCUGCUUGGAUUGGCAGAUGAAAGGGACAAAUCUCUCGCAGUUCUUGAUGAGAUGCGUCAGACACUUGAGGUGCGAAUGGCUGCUGCUGUGAAAGAAAUAAAAGCUGCUGAGCAAGAAAGACUAGAAAAGAAAGAGGUUGCACGUAAAGCGCUUGCUGAUCAGGAAAUUAUUAUGGAAAAAGUUGUGCAAGAGGCAAAUGUUCUGAAGCAAGAGGCAGAAGAAAAUGCUAAGUUGAGGGAUUUCCUGGUGGAUCGGGGGCGUGUUGUUGAUACGUUGCAAGGCGAAAUCUCUGUCAUAUGCCAAGAUGUGAGGUUGUUGAAAGAGAAAUUUGAUGAUCGUGUUCCUCUUCGCAAAUCUUUAUGUUCCGGGCAGACCAGUUGUAUCUUAGCGUCAUCAAGUUCAUCUUUGAAGAGUAUGAUAUCAGAUGAGGUUGCUGAGCCUGCAGAUUUGUUGCAUGCUCCAGAAAAGGUGGAUAGAGUGUCUUGUCAUGAGGAGGAGCACAAGGUAUGUGAAGAUGUUAAGUCAGUGAUCCAUAACACGGAUGAUGGAUGGGAAAUCUUUGACAACCGCGAGCUAUAUGUGUGAUUGUGGAGAAAAAUGAUUGACUGCUUGCUUUAGUUCCAAGAUAUGUCUCAUCUUUUAAUAAGUUUCUUGGUAGAAGAAACAAGCAUCUUUAGAAUUCCCCCAGUUUGUUAUGCUCAUUUUGCGAUGAUAAUUGAGAGCGCUAUUUCAAAGUAGUAGUAUCCUAUCAAGUAUUUUUGUACAGAACAAG